GUAGUGCAUGCCUAGUACGGCGAGUGAAGAGGCAAAAGCUCAAGUUUGGAAGCUCAAUGGUUUAACCAUUGCGCAUUGUAAACUGAAAACAGGAUCAAUCAGGUACACCGGGUGAUAAGUUCCUUGGAAUAGGACAUCAUGGAGGGUGAGAAUCCCGUCUUUGACCCGAGUCUAGUAUCUUUUGUAUUGGCCUGUUCAAGAGUCAGGUUGUUUGGGAAUGCAGCCUAAAGCUGGAGGUAAAUCCCUCCUGAAGCUAAAUAAUGGCGAGAGACCGAUAGCGAACAAGUACCGUGAGGGAAAGAUGAAAAGAACUCUGAAGAGAGAGUUAAACAGUACGUGAAAUUGCUUAAAGGGAAGCAUAUAAAGCUAGGAUGCGAUUGUUUUCUUCAGGUUGAGCUUUGGCUUGACUGUUCAGAAGGAUAAUCCAAGACAACAAGAAUUGGAGGAGGAGAAUAAGCCAUUGGGGAAGGUAAUCCUUCGGGAUGUUUAUAGACCUGAUGGUUCGCGCUCUUCUUUCGAUUGAGGUACGCUUUUUUUAAAGGUUGUUGUCUGAAUGGCUUUAUAUGGCCCGUCAAAAAAACCGGGGACCAAA
RNAcentral lists this ribosomal RNA (592 nucleotides) under Syncephalastrum monosporum. RNAcentral describes it as "partial large subunit ribosomal RNA". It matches the Rfam family "Eukaryotic large subunit ribosomal RNA", at positions 68 to 664 of the family's 3401-position model. The record is from RNAcentral. Lineage: Eukaryota; Fungi; Mucoromycota; Mucoromycetes; Mucorales; Syncephalastraceae.